GGAGUGUGCCCAGAGCAGGGGCCUGAAGAAAUGGCUCCUCUGUUUACAACACACCCAACAGCAAAUCUGGGUUCAUAUGACAAGAGGCCCCUGCACCUCCACAU
Molecule: small nucleolar RNA, 104 nt
Filed under: Catagonus wagneri (Chacoan peccary)
Lineage: Eukaryota; Metazoa; Chordata; Mammalia; Artiodactyla; Tayassuidae
Description: Small nucleolar RNA SNORA11 (ENSCWAG00000012187.1)
Rfam family: Small nucleolar RNA SNORA11
About the family: U107 (SNORA11) is a member of the H/ACA class of snoRNAs that guide the sites of modification of uridines to pseudouridines. This snoRNA was identified by RT-PCR from blood cells and its expression confirmed by Northern blot analysis.
Source: Rfam by way of RNAcentral